UCAUAUCUCUUGAUCCUUAAGCUGAUCUGUAACCUUAAAUCUGUAACCCUAAACCCAUUGUUUAAUAGGUUUUUUAAACCCAGGUUUUUGUUUCAUUUUUCUCUCCUUAGCCAAACUUACUGUGAUCAAUGUAACAGGGAGGCCUCUUGCAGCACACCAGGGAAGAGUGAAUUUGGUGAAAUACCUGCGUUUUGUUAACCCAAAUCUUGAUUCUACAACGAGCUUCACUAAAUUUUCUGAGACCACAAAUGCAACCCAAUGCGCUCAAAACCUGGGAUGAUCAAGCUCUCAGUGCUAUGGAAAGGUGGUAGGAUGUGUCUGUGCAUUCCAACCUGCUGUGUUAGCACCUACCAGGUAUUUUAGGAUCUGACACACCAUGCUGAAAGAAUCAGAAUAAGACAGUGUUGAAACAAAGGACCAUGUCUAAUUUCAUACAGGAAGCUCUUUGUGCCAAAUUAGAGCCCUUUUUUCCUCGGACUCCAUUCAGACGCACGUGGAAGGCUUAUAUGGUAGAAGUGGAAGCCAAUACAAAAAUAUCAAGAUUUCUGUUUAAUAAUUUCACUACAUCCAAGUACAGUUGGUUGAUCUAUUAGCAGCACCCUUGUCUCAUGUACAAAGUCUGUAAGGGAAGUAGGGUUAUAUGUUCAAUCUCACACUGGGAAAGAGGGGUUACUGUGAGCCUGAAAGGUGAGAGGAGGUCUUCACGGCAUGCUGGGUCGAUGUCAGACAAUGAGAGUGCUCUGGGCAAAGCUACAGAAGAAGAGCUAGAUCCUGUGGGGGUAAACAAGACAUGUUUGAAGCUCGAAAGGGAACCAUGACUAUGGAGAGAGGGGCAAAGCACUGGGAAGAUGCACGACAGGAUUAAAAAAAAGUAAAUCUCAGAGAAAAAAUACUUCAUGGUUUUUGAAUAUUGCUGAGAAAGCUUAAUAACCCACUCAGAGAUUGAGAGAAAUCAAAGACAUCCUAUUGGUUGCAUCUAUUUUUUGUUAAAUAUUAAUGAUUUGGGACAUUCACACCACAAACAGCAGUGUUGUUUUAUCCGAGAGGACAAAUCAUAGCACAACAAGCAGCUGAAAAGAGGCCAAAAGGACAGUGAGUAUCUCAUCUGGUGACCUUCAUAACAUGGAAAAAAACACAUCACAACUUUUAGUUGCAGGGAUGCAAAUAGCCAAAUGUCAUUCGCACAGUUGCUCUGGAGUUCCUGCGGGGCUGGAUGCUCUCAGGGAAUUGCUUUAACCAUUCAGAAAUGCUUACUGUUCUCUAGAUAAUGCCAAACUUGACUUGCCUGACAAGAAAUCUGCCUGUUGUACUGUAUGGUGACUUGUAACAUCUAUGUAUUUUUGUUUGUUAAGAGGUGCAUGCUUGUAUUCAGAGUUGUUUGCAUAUGGGAUGAUGAGGAAACAGAAUACCAGAAAGCCUGCACCUGCAAUACUUUACUGGUAAACUGACCACGCAAGGCAUGAGGCCAAAAAUAACUAGGAAGAUUCACUGCAUGCAGUGAAAAAAUGGAAUGAAUGUUAAAAUCCAAAUUCUGCUAGACUGCCUUAUGUAGUAGCUGGGUAAACAAAAUCACAAGUCACAUUUGAUGCAGAAUCAAAUGAAGAAGAUGCCAUUCUGAACAUCUCCUCUCUACUGAGGAGCAUAGCAAGAAGCAAUAGCCUCCAUCAGCAACAGGAAGCUGAGAGAAGCCAUAAUAAUAUCAUAUUUGUUUGGUACAGAGUGAUGUCCAUAUACAUUCACAUCCCAAUCAGCGGUGCAAUUACUGCUGCUCACAUCUCCAUUUCAUUUCCUUGGCUGAGCACUUCUGGGAUUUUGGACUGUGAUUGCAUAUUCACUUGGCUCCUCCAUUGGUAUUGUGUAGAUAUCAUCAGCUCUUAAUACUCCCAUGCUAUGCAGAAGAAAUAAUUUACAUCUGAGUGGGUCGCCAUGGCUACUGGCUACCUGACUGUUUACUCUAUCUGCAAGAGCCAAAAACUGAAGGUGCUUUGCAGAAUUCAGACGAGGAUAAACUGUUCACUAUUUGAAAUCAUAGCUGCACGUAACAGCACAUGCUUGUGUAGGUUUGAUUAGGUACAAUCUCUCUCUUCGUGUUCUGGAUGAAUUUUUAGAGACUCUCAUUCUCAGGGUUGCCAGCUGACUCCAAAGGAAUGACUGUCUCUAGAGGACACUUUACAUGACAGUGAGCAGAUUAAUUAUACCUGCAAAUGGUUUAAGGUGUAGCAUAAAGUCUAAAGGUUUUCCAUUAAAAUUAAUUCUGUGCUAUUAGGAAAUCCUACUGGAGUUGUCUGAAGCAAAUCUGGUGACUUAUGCUGCAGUAUUUUUGGAAGAGUACAGAAAAAUUCCUAAACUGGGACUAAUGCAUAAGGGUGCCAAUUAAAUGGGAUUCAGAUUAUUUUCAUGGCCAUAGCUGGAGCACUACCAAGACCACCACCACCACCUCAUAACAGGAGUGACAGCUUCCAAGAUUAGGUAAGACUGAAUUUUAUACUAAGGCAGAGAAAGCAAGGAAAAGAGUUUAUCUGACCUUCUAUAAAGAUCCUAAAGGAGAACAGAGAAGGGAAAAUAGGACACACUUUUUUUUUUCUACUGGUAGGUCAUC
This is a long non-coding RNA of Dromaius novaehollandiae (emu), 2599 nucleotides long. RefSeq lists it as uncharacterized. The transcript is spliced from 5 exons. NCBI's taxonomy places the organism in Eukaryota, Metazoa, Chordata, Aves, Casuariiformes, Dromaiidae. The record is from RefSeq and is a predicted model, not a curated record.